This 253-nucleotide ribosomal RNA is filed under the name uncultured bacterium. RNAcentral's name for it is "partial 16S ribosomal RNA". It matches the Rfam family "Bacterial small subunit ribosomal RNA", at positions 524 to 776 of the family's 1533-position model. The record is from RNAcentral.
UACAGAGGUCUCAAGCGUUGUUCGGAGUCAUUGGGCGUAAAGGGUGCGUAGGCGGCGCGGUAAGUCGGGUGUGAAAUCUUGGAGCUUAACUCCGAAACUGCAUUCGAUACUGCCGUGCUUGAGGACUGGAGAGGAGACUGGAAUUUACGGUGUAGCGGUGAAAUGCGUAGAGAUCAUGAGGAAGACCAGUGGCGAAGGCGGGUCUCUGGACAGUUCCUGACACUGAGGCACGAAGGCCAGGGGAGCAAACGGG